RNAcentral lists this ribosomal RNA (484 nucleotides) under uncultured bacterium. RNAcentral's name for it is "partial 16S ribosomal RNA". It matches the Rfam family "Bacterial small subunit ribosomal RNA", at positions 28 to 507 of the family's 1533-position model. The record is from RNAcentral.
AUUGAACGCUGGCGGCAUGCUUUACACAUGCAAGUCGAACGGCAGCGCGGGCUUCGGCCUGGCGGCGAGUGGCGAACGGGUGAGUAAUGCAUCGGAACGUGCCCAGUAGUGGGGGAUAGCCCGGCGAAAGCCGGAUUAAUACCGCAUACGACCUGAGGGUGAAAGCGGGGGACCGAAAGGCCUCGCGCUAUUGGCGCGGCCGAUGUCGGAUUAGCUAGUUGGUGGGGUAAAGGCUUACCAAGGCGACGAUCCGUAGCUGGUCUGAGAGGACGACCAGCCACACUGGGACUGAGACACGGCCCAGACUCCUACGGGAGGCAGCAGUGGGGAAUUUUGGACAAUGGGGGCAAGCCUGAUCCAGCCAUGCCGCGUGCGGGAAGAAGGCCUUCGGGUUGUAAACCGCUUUUGUUCGGGAAGAAAUCCUCUGGGCUAAUACCCCGAGGGGAUGACGGUACCGGAAGAAUAAGCACCGGCUAACUACGUG